RNAcentral lists this ribosomal RNA (566 nucleotides) under uncultured bacterium. RNAcentral describes it as "partial 16S ribosomal RNA". It matches the Rfam family "Bacterial small subunit ribosomal RNA", at positions 355 to 911 of the family's 1533-position model. The record is from RNAcentral.
UGGGGAAUAUUGCACAAUGGGCGCAAGCCUGAUGCAGCCAUGCCGCGUGUGUGAAGAAGGCCUUCGGGUUGUAAAGCACUUUCAGCGAGGAGGAAGGUGGUGAGCUUAAUACGCUCAUCAAUUGACGUUACUCGCAGAAGAAGCACCGGCUAACUCCGUGCCAGCAGCCGCGGUAAUACGGAGGGUGCAAGCGUUAAUCGGAAUUACUGGGCGUAAAGCGCACGCAGGCGGUUUGUUAAGUCAGAUGUGAAAUCCCCGGGCUCAACCUGGGAACUGCAUUUGAAACUGGCAAGCUAGAGUCUCGUAGAGGGGGGUAGAAUUCCAGGUGUAGCGGUGAAAUGCGUAGAGAUCUGGAGGAAUACCGGUGGCGAAGGCGGCCCCCUGGACGAAGACUGACGCUCAGGUGCGAAAGCGUGGGGCAGCAAACAGGAUUAGAUACCCUGGUAGUCCACGCUGUAAACGAUGUCGAUUUGGAGGUUGUGCCCCUUGAGGCGUGGCUUCCGGAGCUAACGCGUUAAAUCGACCGCCUGGGGAGUACGGCCGCAAGGUUAAAACUCAAAGGAAUU